RNAcentral lists this ribosomal RNA (253 nucleotides) under uncultured bacterium. RNAcentral describes it as "partial 16S ribosomal RNA". It matches the Rfam family "Bacterial small subunit ribosomal RNA", at positions 524 to 776 of the family's 1533-position model. The record is from RNAcentral.
UACGUAGGGUGCAAGCGUUAUCCGGAAUUAUUGGGCGUAAAGCGCGUGUAGGCGGCAUGGCAAGUCGGGUGUGAAAGCCCUCAGCUUAACUGAGGAAGUGCGCCCGAAACUGCUUUGCUUGAGUGCCGGAGAGGAUGGCGGAAUUCCCCAAGUAGAGGUGAAAUUCGUAGAUAUGGGGAGGAACACCAGUGGCGAAGGCGGCUCUCUGGCCUGUAACUGACGCUGAGGCGCGAAAGCGUGGGGAGCAAACAGG